GAGUUUGAUCGUGGCUCAGAUUGAACGCUGGCGGCAUGCCUAACACAUGCAAGUCGAACGGCAGCACUGGGAGCUUGCUCCCUGGUGGCGAGUGGCGGACGGGUGAGUAACGCGUAGGAAUCUGCCUCAUAGCGGGGGACGAACUCGGGGAAACGUCGAGCUAAUACCGCAUACUACUCGAGAGAGGAAAGCAGGGGACCGUUCGGGCC
This 209-nucleotide ribosomal RNA is filed under the name uncultured microorganism. RNAcentral describes it as "partial 16S ribosomal RNA". It matches the Rfam family "Bacterial small subunit ribosomal RNA", at positions 9 to 217 of the family's 1533-position model. The record is from RNAcentral.